This is a long non-coding RNA of Anoplophora glabripennis (Asian longhorned beetle), 3609 nucleotides long. RefSeq lists it as uncharacterized. Lineage: Eukaryota; Metazoa; Arthropoda; Insecta; Coleoptera; Cerambycidae. The transcript has 4 exons. The record is from RefSeq and is a predicted model, not a curated record.
AAUAAUUUGCAGAAAGAACUUGACAAUAUACAAUCCUGGUGUGUUGAAAAUAGAUUACAUCUUAACGCAGCCAAAUGCAAAAUCUUAAGUUUUUCCAGAAAGUUAUCUGUCCAUAAAUUUAAUUAUAGUAUUGAUAAUAUUGUAUUAUCCCGGUGUGAGUCUUGCAAGGAUUUGGGUGUAUUGUUUGACGCAAAAUUUUCUUUUACUGAUCAUGUAGUCCUUAAAAUAAAUAUUAAGAAACUGUAAGCAAUUCACAGACGUAAAUGUUAUUAAAACUUUGUAUUUUGCGUAUGUACGUUCUAGAUUGGAGUAUGCAGUGCUUGUUUGGUAUCAUUUUUAUAAUAUACAAAAGAUUCUUGUUGAACGUGUUCAGAGGAAGUUUUUGAAGUAUCUGGUAUUUAAAGAUGUUGGUGUUUACCCUGAGAGGGGUAUAAGUUACAGUGUGUUAACUAGUCGAUUUCAUAUUACCAGUUUAGAGACCAGAAGAAUUUGUAUUUCAGUAACUUUUUUAUAUAAGAUUUUACACAAUCUUAUUGACUGCUCUGAAUUACUUUCUGCUAUAAAUUUUUAUGUGCCAAGGCUAAAUUCAAGAAAUACUGUUACCUUUAGAUGUAAUCCGGCUAGAUCUAACAUUUUACUGAGAUCACCAGUGCACGUCAUGUGUGGCAACUUUAAUAGAUUACAACAACCAUGUGAUAUUUUCUAUUGUUCAUUAAAUAUCCUUACGAAUUUAGUCAUUGAAGAGUAUGGUAAUUAGCUUUUAGUUGUAUUUAUCUUUAUAAUUUUAAUAUUAAAUGUACUCAUUAUCAUUUAUUAUAGUAGAAUAUUUGUAUGUAUUCAGAUAUAUUUAUAUUUUUUUGUCUAUUUAUAUAUUGUAUUCAUUGUUUUGUUUAUAAAUUGCCCUGUAAAUGGAUUUCUGUUGGGCAUUAAAGCAUUAUUAUUAUUAUAAGAAGGCGCUUUCGUAAUGAUGCUUUCGAUGUCGCUAACAAAAGAAAGAAGAAUUUGAAGACAUAUGCCGUGAGAGGAUAAUGCAGGUGGUUCCAAUGGAAUUGAAAUGUACAGCAAUUUCCUGAAGUCUACAUCAUGCAGUUGCCGGAUGAAGACCGCUUCAUUAAGCACUAGCAGCUCUGUUAUGUUAAAUCCAUCUUAUUAAAGAAAAAAACAUUUACUAUUCGAUACUUGUAUUUGGGAAAUAUGGUGUUUGUUUAUGGUUUUUGUAAUGGGAAUGCUGUUGAAGAAUAUCCUCAACGGUUUCCAUAUCACAAUUGUCCUGAUAAAAAUGUAUUUAUCAGAAUUUUUAACAAACUGUGUGAAACCGGAAUGCUUCCCAGUUCUUGUAUAACAUCUGAACGAGCUCAUCGAUAAAAUUUAGAAGAAGCAGAAAAUAUUCUGGGUCUAGUAGAAGAUGAUGCAACUACCCGCUCACGAAGAAUUCCUACUCAAUUGGGCAUUUCACAAAAAAGGGUAAUAAAAAACCCACCCUCCACGAACAAGGCUUAUAUUCGUACCAUGUACAAAGAGUACAACGCCUACAACUGGAAAAUUAUGCUAAGCGUAUCAAGUUUGGUCGAUGGAUCAAUAAUAAUCAUCUUGUUGUAUCCCACAUACUAUUUACCCGCAACGGUAUAACUUGUACUUAGAACUGUAUGUAUGGUCAGAAGAAAAUCCUCAUGCAAGUCUUGAAAGUAAUUUUCGGCAUAGGACUUCGGUAAACGUGUGAUCGAUAGUUAUUUAAUCGGUCCUCUCAUUUUAUAGGAGACCCUUAAACUUUUUAUAAAAAGAAUUACAAGUACUUCUAGAGGAUGUUCCUGUAAAUAUGAAAAUGUGAAUGUACUACUAGCAUGAAUGAGGUCUUGCACAUUUCGCUCAUCCAAUCAAGUUACAUUUGAACAAGAGGUUUUCAGAUUGUUGGAUUGGCAGCGGUGGUCCUAUUAGUUGGCCUCCAAGAUCUCCAGACCUCAUAGCACUGGAUUACUGAUUAUGGGGCUGGUUCAAAAACGAAGUGUACAAAGCUAGAGUGAACACUCGGGAGACACUAAUUCAACGUAACAUUAAAACAGCAGUAGUGAUUCCAGAAAGACAUGGCAUCAAUGUCAUAGCUUCAAAGCAAGCGAAAAUCGUAAUAUUUGGGUUUCUUCUCAUUAAUUUGUCGUGUAGAAUCCAUUACUGGAGUUUGGUGCAAUUUUCCUGGCUUACCCUGUAUAUGAAAUAUCCAUUUCGAGGAAUUUCAACAUUACAAAAGUGGCCAUCUACUAUAAGUCUGCGAAAUGGUAAAUAGCUUGCCGUUUUGGAGAUAAUGGAGGUUGCUAGUGAAACAAAAUCUGCUCUUGAAAGACUCACAGUUCUUUGCUUUGAUGAAGUGACAGUAGCAUGUCUCUGAAUAUGAUCAAAAAGAGUAUGACGUGAUUUAAAUAUAAGCAUUAAUAAUACUUCAGUAUUUCAUCUGAUUACUCAGAAUAAAACAUAUUUCCUCUGAUUACUCAGAAUAAAACAUAUUUCCUUGCGGACGUCCCACAUCUAUUGAAAUUAAUUGGUAAUUGGUUCCUCGACAAAGGAUUUAUUUUAAAUAAUGGGAACGAAAUAAAUAUACAGUCAUUCUGUGAUUUAUUGCAAAUUUCAAAUGCUGAGGAUAAGUUCUUAUUACACGUUAACAACUCUACACCUGGUCUGUGAAAAAAUUCAUAGACAAAAUGCAACUCUAGCAGCUCAAUUGUUUUCAAAUACCUACUUCAGCCUCACGAUGUGAUAAAAGUCUUGCAGAAGAUGUUGGUGAAGCAGUGGUUCGAUAUAAUGAAUUCAUUUUCGCCAAGUGCAUCUGUACGUACAAGAAAACCAUAUGGAAAAGAUUUGACUGUUCAGGAUGGCGUUCUUAACAGGAUGAAGGAUGCUUUUCGACAUAUACAGUGUAUAUCAAGAACAAGCUUACAGAUUUUUAAAAAAGGGGUUAUAAUUCCCUCCAGGAACUUUACAAGGAUUUGAAAGAACGACUCGGUAUUUCAUAUUUGUUGACACGCUGCUUAAAUCAAGACUGUUUGAAGAAUUUAUAUUCACAGAUAAGGACUAAAGGGGCCUAUGUAACUGCAGUGUAUGGAAUAAGGAUGAUUUUGCUCUCAGGAUGGUGCAGAUACAUACAAAUUAUAUAGAAAAUUUCGUGAUAAAUCCACUGAAUUUAUUUUAGCAGUAGCUCUCAAAACUGCUGAAAUAAGAAGCUAACCCGCAACCAGUUAGGAACAAUGAAGAAAUUGAGUCGAGUAUUGCAAGUAGCAGUAGUUCAAACAUAUCACACACAGAAUAUUUGUGAAGACGGGCUACAGACAUCGCAGGUUUUUUAGCUAGAAAGUAUAUUCAUACAUAUACUCUAGGAUCGCCUGCUUCCUGGAUACAAAGUCUGUCUUUGGGGGGAUUCGCACUGAACCAUCCAAAACUUUUCAAAUGCAAGUCAUAAUAUUUCAAGAAAGUUAUCAUUAGCUUUGUUCCUAGUAGAAUCCAAAACAGUUUCCAACAGUCAGACGCAUGCGCAUAUGGAUGUAAUGCUUACAUAAGGUUCAAAAUUCAUUGUUUCGAAUCAAAUGCGAUUGCGUCGGACUGUUGGAAACUGUUUCUAAUGCA